Non-coding RNA from Lingula anatina, 89 nucleotides. NCBI's taxonomy places the organism in Eukaryota, Metazoa, Brachiopoda, Lingulata, Lingulida, Lingulidae. The record is from Rfam.
GCCUCGAUAGCGCAGUAGGCAGCGCGUCAGUCUCAUAAUCAAUAUGUCGGGCAAUCUGAAGGUCGUGAGUUCGAUCCUCACUCGGGGCA